GAGUGCGGUCAUACUAGGACUAAUGCAUCAGAUCCCAUUACAACUCCGCAGCUCAGCGUGCUUGGGCGAGAGUAGUUCUAGGAUGGGUGACCUCUUGGGAAUUCCUUGUGUUGCAUCCU
Molecule: ribosomal RNA, 119 nt
Filed under: Beta vulgaris subsp. vulgaris (sugar beet)
Lineage: Eukaryota; Viridiplantae; Streptophyta; Magnoliopsida; Caryophyllales; Amaranthaceae
Source: RNAcentral